Molecule: ribosomal RNA, 264 nt
Filed under: uncultured archaeon
Lineage: Archaea
Description: partial 16S ribosomal RNA
Rfam family: Archaeal small subunit ribosomal RNA
Source: RNAcentral
AGACGUCUACAUUAGAUACCCGGGUAGUCCCAGCCGUAAACUAUGCGCGUUAGGUGUAUCGGUGACCACGAGUCACCGAGGUGCCGAAGGGAAACCGUGAAACGUGCCGCCUGGGAAGUGCGGUCGCAAGGCUGAAACUUAAAGGAAUCGGCGGGGAGCACCACAACGGGUGGAGCCUGCGGUUUAAUUGGACUCAACGCCGGGAAGCUCACCGGAUAAGACAGCGGAAUGAUUGCCGGGCUGAAGACUCUGCAUGACUAGCUG